RNAcentral lists this ribosomal RNA (35 nucleotides) under Mytilus galloprovincialis (Mediterranean mussel). RNAcentral describes it as "partial 5.8S rRNA". Lineage: Eukaryota; Metazoa; Mollusca; Bivalvia; Mytilida; Mytilidae. The record is from RNAcentral.
ACUACUCUAGGCGGUGGAUCACUCGGCUCGUGCGU